This 1439-nucleotide ribosomal RNA is filed under the name Staphylococcus warneri. RNAcentral describes it as "bacterial SSU rRNA". It matches the Rfam family "Bacterial small subunit ribosomal RNA". Lineage: Bacteria; Bacillati; Bacillota; Bacilli; Caryophanales; Staphylococcaceae. The record is from RNAcentral.
UGCAGUCGAGCGAACAGAUAAGGAGCUUGCUCCUUUGACGUUAGCGGCGGACGGGUGAGUAACACGUGGAUAACCUACCUAUAAGACUGGGAUAACUUCGGGAAACCGGAGCUAAUACCGGAUAACAUAUUGAACCGCAUGGUUCAAUAGUGAAAGGCGGCUUUGCUGUCACUUAUAGAUGGAUCCGCGCCGUAUUAGCUAGUUGGUAAGGUAACGGCUUACCAAGGCAACGAUACGUAGCCGACCUGAGAGGGUGAUCGGCCACACUGGAACUGAGACACGGUCCAGACUCCUACGGGAGGCAGCAGUAGGGAAUCUUCCGCAAUGGGCGAAAGCCUGACGGAGCAACGCCGCGUGAGUGAUGAAGGUCUUCGGAUCGUAAAACUCUGUUAUCAGGGAAGAACAAAUGUGUAAGUAACUGUGCACAUCUUGACGGUACCUGAUCAGAAAGCCACGGCUAACUACGUGCCAGCAGCCGCGGUAAUACGUAGGUGGCAAGCGUUAUCCGGAAUUAUUGGGCGUAAAGCGCGCGUAGGCGGUUUUUUAAGUCUGAUGUGAAAGCCCACGGCUCAACCGUGGAGGGUCAUUGGAAACUGGAAAACUUGAGUGCAGAAGAGGAAAGUGGAAUUCCAUGUGUAGCGGUGAAAUGCGCAGAGAUAUGGAGGAACACCAGUGGCGAAGGCGACUUUCUGGUCUGUAACUGACGCUGAUGUGCGAAAGCGUGGGGAUCAAACAGGAUUAGAUACCCUGGUAGUCCACGCCGUAAACGAUGAGUGCUAAGUGUUAGGGGGUUUCCGCCCCUUAGUGCUGCAGCUAACGCAUUAAGCACUCCGCCUGGGGAGUACGACCGCAAGGUUGAAACUCAAAGGAAUUGACGGGGACCCGCACAAGCGGUGGAGCAUGUGGUUUAAUUCGAAGCAACGCGAAGAACCUUACCAAAUCUUGACAUCCUUUGACCGCUCUAGAGAUAGAGUCUUCCCCUUCGGGGGACAAAGUGACAGGUGGUGCAUGGUUGUCCUCAGCUCCUGUCCUGAGAUGUUGGGGUUAAGUCCCCCAACGAGCGCAACCCUUAAGCUUAAUUGCCAUCAUUAAGUUGGGCACUCUAAGUUGACUGCCGGUGACAAACCGGAGGAAGGUGGGGAUGACGUCAAAUCAUCAUGCCCCUUAUGAUUUGGGCUACACACGUGCUACAAUGGACAAUACAAAGGGCAGCUAAACCGCGAGGUCAAGCAAAUCCCAUAAAGUUGUUCUCAGUUCGGAUUGUAGUCUGCAACUCGACUACAUGAAGCUGGAAUCGCUAGUAAUCGUAGAUCAGCAUGCUACGGUGAAUACGUUCCCGGGUCUUGUACACACCGCCCGUCACACCACGAGAGUUUGUAACACCCGAAGCCGGUGGAGUAACCAUUUAUGGAGCUAGCCGUCGAAGGUGGGACAAAUGA